UACGUAGGUGGCGAGCGUUGUUCGGAAUUACUGGGCGUAAAGCGCGUGUAGGCGGCGUGACAAGUCGGGUGUGAAAGCCCUCAGCUCAACUGAGGAAGUGCGCCCGAAACUGUCGUGCUUGAGUGCCGGAGAGGGUGGCGGAAUUCCCCAAGUAGAGGUGAAAUUCGUAGAUAUGGGGAGGAACACCGGUGGCGAAGGCGGCCACCUGGACGGUAACUGACGCUGAGACGCGAAAGCGUGGGGAGCAAACAGG
This 253-nucleotide ribosomal RNA is filed under the name uncultured bacterium. Its description in RNAcentral is "partial 16S ribosomal RNA". It matches the Rfam family "Bacterial small subunit ribosomal RNA", at positions 524 to 776 of the family's 1533-position model. The record is from RNAcentral.